UUGGAGGGCAAUAAUUUUCCAUUAGAUAGACAAGAUACAGUAAAUUUAGCAAAGGAGCUCAUGCAUAAAAAUGCUUGUUCAAAUCAUUUUUUUUAAAAAAGAACCUCCUAGAAUAUCACAAAAUUUCCACCAAUUACCCAAUAGUGAUUGAUCAUUCUCCAAAAUAUUAAGAAACAAUACCCGUGUCAAAGACAAGAGGGAAGGUCUGGGUUUCCAAAACGUUACAAGUGAGAAAUUUCUUAUGCAUGAACCUUGUGAAACCCUUGCUGCCUCAAAUUGACUCGAUGAAAUGCAAGUCGUAAGGGCCAUGGAGAACUGACCUCACAAACUUCUCUUGCUGAAAAUUCAUCACUUCAGCUCACAUGAGAAACAAGUGAAGAGAUAUCAACUACUGAACUAUUGACAAAACAAGGAAUUCAUGAAAAAUCUUCUUUUGAUUGAGUUGGUCGAGAUAAAGCCCAGGAGGGUAAUCAUUAAAACCGACUGAUUAUGUUGUCUCUAUAACUGAAUCAUAACUUGUAAAUGUAAAUAAGCCACUUUUUCAGUCAGCAGUUAAACAUGUAAGGGAAAUUGUACUUAUCAGAUGCAAGUCAAGUAAGAAAUUAUGGCAAAAAGGGGAUACCAUAACAAAACUCUAAAAAUAGACGGCAUCUUAAACAUAAC
Molecule: long non-coding RNA, 663 nt
Filed under: Olea europaea (common olive)
Lineage: Eukaryota; Viridiplantae; Streptophyta; Magnoliopsida; Lamiales; Oleaceae
Description: long non-coding RNA (OEUR_LNC000128)
Source: RNAcentral